This 1495-nucleotide ribosomal RNA is filed under the name Lactiplantibacillus plantarum. Its description in RNAcentral is "bacterial SSU rRNA". It matches the Rfam family "Bacterial small subunit ribosomal RNA". The record is from RNAcentral. Lineage: Bacteria; Bacillati; Bacillota; Bacilli; Lactobacillales; Lactobacillaceae.
AUGGCUCAGGACGAACGCUGGCGGCGUGCCUAAUACAUGCAAGUCGAACGAACUCUGGUAUUGAUUGGUGCUUGCAUCAUGAUUUACAUUUGAGUGAGUGGCGAACUGGUGAGUAACACGUGGGAAACCUGCCCAGAAGCGGGGGAUAACACCUGGAAACAGAUGCUAAUACCGCAUAACAACUUGGACCGCAUGGUCCGAGUUUGAAAGAUGGCUUCGGCUAUCACUUUUGGAUGGUCCCGCGGCGUAUUAGCUAGAUGGUGAGGUAACGGCUCACCAUGGCAAUGAUACGUAGCCGACCUGAGAGGGUAAUCGGCCACAUUGGGACUGAGACACGGCCCAAACUCCUACGGGAGGCAGCAGUAGGGAAUCUUCCACAAUGGACGAAAGUCUGAUGGAGCAACGCCGCGUGAGUGAAGAAGGGUUUCGGCUCGUAAAACUCUGUUGUUAAAGAAGAACAUAUCUGAGAGUAACUGUUCAGGUAUUGACGGUAUUUAACCAGAAAGCCACGGCUAACUACGUGCCAGCAGCCGCGGUAAUACGUAGGUGGCAAGCGUUGUCCGGAUUUAUUGGGCGUAAAGCGAGCGCAGGCGGUUUUUUAAGUCUGAUGUGAAAGCCUUCGGCUCAACCGAAGAAGUGCAUCGGAAACUGGGAAACUUGAGUGCAGAAGAGGACAGUGGAACUCCAUGUGUAGCGGUGAAAUGCGUAGAUAUAUGGAAGAACACCAGUGGCGAAGGCGGCUGUCUGGUCUGUAACUGACGCUGAGGCUCGAAAGUAUGGGUAGCAAACAGGAUUAGAUACCCUGGUAGUCCAUACCGUAAACGAUGAAUGCUAAGUGUUGGAGGGUUUCCGCCCUUCAGUGCUGCAGCUAACGCAUUAAGCAUUCCGCCUGGGGAGUACGGCCGCAAGGCUGAAACUCAAAGGAAUUGACGGGGGCCCGCACAAGCGGUGGAGCAUGUGGUUUAAUUCGAAGCUACGCGAAGAACCUUACCAGGUCUUGACAUACUAUGCAAAUCUAAGAGAUUAGACGUUCCCUUCGGGGACAUGGAUACAGGUGGUGCAUGGUUGUCGUCAGCUCGUGUCGUGAGAUGUUGGGUUAAGUCCCGCAACGAGCGCAACCCUUAUUAUCAGUUGCCAGCAUUAAGUUGGGCACUCUGGUGAGACUGCCGGUGACAAACCGGAGGAAGGUGGGGAUGACGUCAAAUCAUCAUGCCCCUUAUGACCUGGGCUACACACGUGCUACAAUGGAUGGUACAACGAGUUGCGAACUCGCGAGAGUAAGCUAAUCUCUUAAAGCCAUUCUCAGUUCGGAUUGUAGGCUGCAACUCGCCUACAUGAAGUCGGAAUCGCUAGUAAUCGCGGAUCAGCAUGCCGCGGUGAAUACGUUCCCGGGCCUUGUACACACCGCCCGUCACACCAUGAGAGUUUGUAACACCCAAAGUCGGUGGGGUAACCUUUUAGGAACCAGCCGCCUAAAGGUGGGACAGAUGAUUAG